Molecule: ribosomal RNA, 738 nt
Filed under: Strombidinopsis acuminata
Lineage: Eukaryota; Ciliophora; Spirotrichea; Choreotrichida; Strombidinopsidae
Description: partial Bacterial large subunit ribosomal RNA
Rfam family: Bacterial large subunit ribosomal RNA
Source: RNAcentral
GCGACUGUUUACUAAAAACACAGGACUCUGCUAAAUUUUACAAUGAUGUAUUGAGUCUGACGCCUGCCCAGUGCUGUAAGAUAAAAAAUUGCAAGUAUAGCUUGGUGAUUUAAGUCCCAGUAAACGGCGGCUGUAUCCUGACGGUCCGAAGGUAGCGAAAUUUAUUGGCGGGUAAGUUCCGUCCUGCAUGAAUGGCGUAACGACUGCCCCACUGUCUCCAAUCACAAUCCGGUGAAAUUGAAUACUAGGUGAAAAUGCCUAAUUAGAACAGCGGGACGGAAAGACCCUAUGCACCUUUACUAGAACCUUGUACUACAAAAGAUUAUUGAUGUUUUUUGGCAGAGUUAGUAAGGCUAUUUGUGUUACUAACUCGAUAUGACCAUAUAUAUUAAAGUUUUUUGUUAAAAAAGAAGCAAAUGUUUAUUUUGACACUGCAAGGAUGCUAGUUUCACUGGGGCGGUGACCUCCUAAAAAGUAACGGAGGUGAGCAAAGGUUUAGUUAAGUAUAUUUUGUAUACGCGUAUUACAAUGGAUUAAAUUAAGCUUGAUUUAAAAAUGUACGCAUUUUUAAAGGGUGAGUGGUUUAUGCUUGCCAGUCAUAGUGACCCGAUAAUAUUUAUUGAUAAAGUUAUCGAUUAACGGAUAAAAGGUACGCUAGGGAUAACAGGCUUAUAAUUCCUUAGAGUACCCAUCGACGGAAUUGGUUGGCACCUCGAUGUCGGCUCAUCUCAUCCUGGG